RNAcentral lists this ribosomal RNA (467 nucleotides) under uncultured bacterium. Its description in RNAcentral is "partial 16S ribosomal RNA". It matches the Rfam family "Bacterial small subunit ribosomal RNA", at positions 28 to 506 of the family's 1533-position model. The record is from RNAcentral.
GACGAACGCUGGCGGCGUGCUUAACACAUGCAAGUCGAACGGAAAGGCCCUGCUUUUGUGGGGUGCUCGAGUGGUGAACGGGUGAGUAACACGUGAGUAACCUGCCCUUGACUUUGGGAUAACUUCAGGAAACUGGGGCUAAUACCGGAUAGGAGCUCCUGCUGCAUGGUGGGGGUUGGAAAGUUUCGGCGGUUGGGGAUGGACUCGCGGCUUAUCAGCUUGUUGGUGGGGUAGUGGCUUACCAAGGCUUUGACGGGUAGCCGGCCUGAGAGGGUGACCGGCCACAUUGGGACGGAGAUACGGCCAAGACUCCUACGGGGGGCAGCAGUGGGGAAUAUUGCACAAGGGGCGGAAGCCUGAUGCAGCAACGCCGCGUGGGGGAGGACGGCCUUCGGGUGGUAAACCGCUUUCGCCUGGGACGAAGGGGGGGUGACGGUAAUGGGUAAAGAAGCACCGGCUAAUUACGU